Molecule: ribosomal RNA, 487 nt
Filed under: Pogonognathellus cf. flavescens FZ-2014
Lineage: Eukaryota; Metazoa; Arthropoda; Collembola; Entomobryomorpha; Tomoceridae
Description: partial 16S ribosomal RNA
Rfam family: Bacterial large subunit ribosomal RNA
Source: RNAcentral
AACAUUUCUUUUAGACUAUAUUAUAAGUAAGGCCUGCCCACUGUUUAAAAAUAAAGGGCCGCGGUAUUUUGACCGUGCAAAGGUAGCAUAAUCAUUAGUCUUUUAAUUGAAGAAUGGUAUGAAUGGCUUAAUAAAAUUUAUCUUUUUAUAAAAUAUUUUAAUAAAUUUGAUUAAAAGUGAAAAUACUUUUUUUAUUAUAAAAGACGAUAAGACCCUAUAGAAUUUUAUUUAUCUAUAUUAUAGUUAAAUUUUAUUGGGGCAGUAUAAGAAUAUUAAAAAUUUCUUUAAAAUAAAUUUUUAAUUAAUUAAUUUAAUCUUUUAUUAAAAAAUCUUCAAAAAAUUACCUUAGGGAUAACAGCGUAAUUAUUUUUAAGAGUUCAUAUCGACAAAAUAUUUUGCGACCUCGAUGUUGAAUUAUAAUACCUAAUUGGUGCAGAAUUUUAUUAAGGUAGUCUGUUCGACUAUAAAAUUUUUACAUGAUUUGAGU